RNAcentral lists this long non-coding RNA (1031 nucleotides) under Homo sapiens (human). RNAcentral describes it as "long intergenic non-protein coding RNA 2882". Lineage: Eukaryota; Metazoa; Chordata; Mammalia; Primates; Hominidae. The record is from RNAcentral.
GCCUUCAAAGGAGCCUUGUACACAAUCUCUAGGUGAGGAAUGACUUUGUAAUCCGAGGCAUAAGAUCUCAAAUUAACAGCCCAUUAUUAUGGAAGUUCUUUAUUGAUCGCCAAAAUGGGUUAGGUAUACCUGUUUCAUCAUUGCCUAGAAUACCCUACUUCAAACAAUGAAACUCACUUUCAAUCUAUCAUCAUCUUUCACUCUUCAGUGAAACCCCAUGUAGCUUCCAGAUGUGGUUUCAGGAUUUCUCUAUAUUGUUGGAGAGAUACUCUGUUUUUCUACAAAUGGAAAGUUUGUGGCAUCCUUGACUCAAGCAAAUUUUUCAGCACCAUUUUUCAAGAGCGUGUGCUCACUUCACCUCUCUGUAUCGUGUUUUGAUGCUUGUCCUGGAAACCAACCAUGAGCUGUGAUGAAAUCCAGGCAACUGAGUUGUGUUUCAGCCCAAAGCAGCAAAUGGAAUCCAGCUUCAGGACCAUCAUCUGACAUAGGGGAAGAAGACUUACAUAGAAGGCCUAACCAGCACCCAAGAUCAUGCUCAUAGGUGGAGGAGACUUGCUUUGUCUCAGAUGAGACUUUGGACUGUGGACUUUUGAGUUAAUGCUGAAAUGAGUUGAGACUUUGGGGAACUGUUGGGAAGGCAUGAUUGGUUUUAAAUAUGAAUAUAUGAGAUUUGGGAGGGGGUCAGGGGUGGAAUGAUAUGGUUUGGCUCUGUGUCCCCACCCAAAUCUCAUCUUGUAGCUCCCAUAAUCCUCCCAUGUUGUGGGAGGGACCCAGUGGGAGAUGAUUGAAUCAUGAGGGCGGGUCUUUCUCAUGCUGUUCAUGAUCCCAUUCAUGUGAGAAAGACCCAUGUGAUCAUGAAUGGGUCUCACAAGAUCUGAUGGUGUUAAAAAUGGGAGUUUCUCUGCACAAGCUCUCUGCCUGCUGCCAUUCACAAAGGAUGUGACUUGCUUCUCCUUGCCUUCUGCUAUGAUUGUGAGGCCUCCCUAGCCAUGUGGAACUGUGAGUCCAAUUAAACCUCUUUCUUUUGUAAA